This 253-nucleotide ribosomal RNA is filed under the name uncultured bacterium. RNAcentral's name for it is "partial 16S ribosomal RNA". It matches the Rfam family "Bacterial small subunit ribosomal RNA", at positions 524 to 776 of the family's 1533-position model. The record is from RNAcentral.
UACGUAGGGCGCAAGCGUUGUCCGGAAUUAUUGGGCGUAAAGAGCUCGUAGGCGGCUUGUCACGUCGGAUGUGAAAGCCCGGGGCUUAACCCCGGGUCUGCAUUCGAUACGGGCUAGCUAGAGUGUGGGUAGGGGAGAUCGGAAUUCCUGGUGUAGCGGUGAAAUGCGCAGAUAUCAGGAGGAACACCGGUGGCGAAGGCGGAUCUCUGGGCCGAUACUGACGUGAGGAGCGAAAGCGUGGGGAGCGAACAGG